Python bivittatus (Burmese python) is the source of this 2333-nucleotide non-coding RNA. Lineage: Eukaryota; Metazoa; Chordata; Lepidosauria; Squamata; Pythonidae. The record is from RefSeq and is a predicted model, not a curated record.
GGGGGAAAUAAUCUUUUGAGUCAUAUGUUGGCAUAGAUGUGAACUGAGUGAUCUGAAAGUGUCAGGAGCUCUUAUUGUAUAGAGCUAAUACAAAGGGAAAGCAGUUCUGUGAGCUGUCAGAUAGUAGGGUGGUUUCCAGAAGGUGUCAAGUUGACAAUUUCCAGAACUGUCCAAUGUCCAUUAUCCCACCUCUGCUGCCAUUCCCACUGUCCAUCAAGAUCCCAAAGACAGGGACCACAUGACAACAUUCUUAGCCUGACAAUGUGUCAUAUAUAUUAAUGUGUCUCUCAUAUAGAUGUAGGUGUAGAUGUAGAUGCAGAUGUACAGUAGAUGUAGAGAUAGAGAGAUGUGACAAUGUGUCAUAUAUCUUUAGCAUCAAAAAAGGAUGGCAGAACAGGAGCUGACAGAAUCUGAGCCAUGCUCACAGCCCUUUAGGAGUUCCAUAUGAGGAUCACUGUAAAAACAAGACAGCCUAAGGAUAAGUAGCAUUCCUGGGAUAGCUCCAACUGAUUUCAAUGAGGCAUCUUCAUGAGAAUAUCCUAGCCAUUUGUCCCCCAAGUUACCUAGUGGGAGAGAAGUAUUAUUUGAAUGUUCAGUCUUGAACACUGAAGUGUUAUGAUAUUAAUGAGACCAGUCUAUUAAACCCCAUAGGUAUCUGGAAAAGAUAACAUGGAAAAAAGAAAUAAAAAAAGGAUUUAAGCUUCAACUGACUUUGGACACCCAGCUGGAUAUUUGAAGGAGGGCUUUAAACACUCGUGUUAAUACAUGGCUUGAUCGAUGUGGAAGAGGAUGGCUCCAAGCUGUUUUGGCCUUUAAAGUUAAGUGCUACCUCUUUUAUCUGCACUGAGAAAUAGAUCAGGCAACUGGCCAGGUGAUAACCUUCUGUACUGACACAUUUCAUAUACUGAAUGGCAAGAACAAGAGGCAGAUAUUAGCAACUUUAUCUUUGAUGAGUUCAGUAAUCUUGUCAUGAUAGGCUUCUGUGGGUUGCCUGAAGUCACCUUUGGGCCAAAUUGAAGAAUGCUUUAAAACACUCAGGAACAGCUCCACCAGAUGGCGCUCUGAAAAUGCGAUAGCAGCAGAGGAGUUGUGUUUCAUACGGCUGGGCAUGGAAAUUAUUCAGAUGUGUUUCUGAACAGGAGUGCUCCUUACAGCACCCUGAAAAAAGUCUGAAUCAUUUCUGAAGUCCUACUGCUUCCUUGCCACUGCCACCAUUACAAUGCAAGGUCAAUAAUACAGCCUUCCCUGUGUUCAGUGAGAUUCACAUCAUAUUUGUAGUUCACAGAACUGUGUCCUACUCACUUACCGUUCAGUUUCAUUAUUCUAUCUGAUUUGUAAGGCAGGAAGCACUCUUGCCUUUGUAAAGUAUUGGGAUAGUUCAAUUAUUGGAGCAAGGGAGAAAACUGAUAUUUGCGCUUGGUACAUUUGAUGACCUCUAUUUCAAUUUUUCUAAGUUUCCGAUUGAAGCACUAUGGAGAUUGUGAAUUAAAGAUUGUGAAUCAGGAAAAGCCAGUAUUCCCUUCACUUUAUGCUGAAGCACAACUGUUAAGCCAUUCACUGACCAGGGUGCUGUUCUCAGGCACAGGUUUGGCAAAGAGCAGUUCUAGUGCUGCAACGACAAGUACCCAAGGCUAACAUAGAGGACAUGGAAGAUAAUAUGAAUAAGUUAAACGAUCUCAAAGUACAGAGCGUGGAGAGGGGGUUCUUCAAUACUUGGAUAAGAGAAUUUUACUAAACAGCACUAAUUUCUGUAGUUUCUGAGUAUAGGAAACAACAGAACUGCCUCAGUGAAAUCCCAUUACUGCCACUGGAUGAAAGUUCUUUAAAUCCUAAGAUGGAAAAAAGUCUGAAAUAGACCUCUACUAAAAUACCAACUAUAAUAACUUAUAGUUGACUUAUAAAUGUGUGAGAAAGUCUGUGAAAGGAUGAAUGCCCGGCUACCAAUCUCAGAUUGCCUGAGGAAAACUGCAGAAGUCAGAACAUAGUACAAAGGAGAAAUGGAAGCCAGCAGAAAAUUAUGCCAGCUCAAAGUAGUGCUCCCUGCAUGCACUUCCAACCCCAACUCUGUCUCAGCAAUGAAACAUCUGCCUGCGAUGGAAUGCAGCUCAGCAGAUGGACUACUCAGGAAGCCUGCGCCAGCAGAAGUAGGAAAGUACUUCAGAGCCAAAAAAUAAUGCCGAGGUCGCAUUCGCAGCUGACUGGGGCUGAGAUGAGGACAACUUCAUGCAUUCCUCUCCUUCCAGUUCUGAUCAAACUGACAGGCAAUUAAAGAGAUUCCCAUAUGGAUCUCUUUUGAAUGACUUGGUUAAGUUCAACAAUACUAGCAAUCAACA